AGUAGUUUCGACGUCCGUGGCGUACGGGACGACGCUGGCGGCGUGCUUAACACAUGCAAGUCGAACGGAAAGGCCUGCUUUCCCUUGUGGAUUGCGGGUGCUCGAGUGGCGAACGGGUGAGUAACACGUGAGUGAUCUGCCCCCAACUUGGGUAUAAGCCUGGGAAACUGGGUCUAAUUCCCGAUAGGACUGCAGGGUGGUGCCUGUGGUGGAAAACGAUUUCUAGUGGUUGGGGAUGAGCUCGCGGCCUAUCAGCUUGUUGGUGGGGUAAUGGCCUACCAAGGCGGCGACGGGUAGCCGGCCUGAGAGGGUGGACGGCCACAUUGGGACUGAGAUACGGCCCAGACUCCUACGGGAGGCAGCAGUGGGGAAUAUUGCACAAUGGGCGGAAGCCUGAUGCAGCGACGCCGCGUGGGGGAUGACGGCCUUCGGGUUGUAAACUCCUUUCGACCGCGAGGAAGCCACCUGGUUGGAAGGGUGGCGACGGUAGUGGUAGAAGAAGCACCGGCUAACUACGUG
This 519-nucleotide ribosomal RNA is filed under the name uncultured Corynebacterium sp. RNAcentral's name for it is "bacterial SSU rRNA". It matches the Rfam family "Bacterial small subunit ribosomal RNA", at positions 1 to 507 of the family's 1533-position model. The record is from RNAcentral. Lineage: Bacteria; Bacillati; Actinomycetota; Actinomycetes; Mycobacteriales; Corynebacteriaceae.